AAUAAGUGCAGUUUUGCACUGUUUAUAUUCAACGUUUGACUAUUUAUCUUAUUUAAAAAAUAUGAUUAGUAUUUUUAUUGUUAUUAGAUGGUAAAACAUGAAUAAUAUUUUAUGUGUGACUAUUUUUUAAAAAAAUUUAUAAAUUUUUCAAAUAAGACGAACAGUCAAACGUUGGAUUUUGGAAC
RNAcentral lists this microRNA precursor (185 nucleotides) under Oryza barthii. RNAcentral's name for it is "MIR812 microRNA precursor family". It matches the Rfam family "MIR812 microRNA precursor family". The record is from Rfam by way of RNAcentral. Lineage: Eukaryota; Viridiplantae; Streptophyta; Magnoliopsida; Poales; Poaceae.